GGUGAGAUGGCCGAGUUGGUCCAUGGCGCGAGGUUAAGGUAUACCUUGACAUCACUUCCUCGUGGGGUAACCCUCGUGGGUUCGAAUCCCACUCUCAUCA
This is a non-coding RNA of Hypoxylon fragiforme, 100 nucleotides long. Lineage: Eukaryota; Fungi; Ascomycota; Sordariomycetes; Xylariales; Hypoxylaceae. The record is from the annotation of a RefSeq genome assembly.